UCCUAUUAUCUCGUUUGACUUUUGUCAAAAUCCCUAAAUCCCUUUCACGUUUCUUCUUCACUCAUUCCGUUUCUCUCUUCUCAAUCUAUUUGUUCUUCACAUCUAGAACUCUAACUUGGUAUUAGAACUUCUAAAUUCUGGAGAUUCGUCAGUUCGUCCAUCUGAGUUUCCUCCUUUGGUCUUCCUUUGAAGAUGGGUGUACUACCAGCAUCAUAUCAUGUUGUUCCUACAGCACCUCAAUCUGUACCUUUUAUUCAGACUGCUGCCACUUUUCAACCUUAGAUAGCUUCACAGGCACUCAUUGCUACACUAAAAACUGUGGAUGAUAAUGCACGGUAUCCGGAUUCUAGAGGCACCCAUCACCUUACCAAGGAUUUUAGCAAUCUUCAAAUUGGCAGCACAAAGAUGGGUUCAGGACAAUCAGAUUCUUCUUGAGUUUUAUACGAACUUCUGCUAAGUUCGUGAUCUUCGUACCUAUAAAGUGUUAUUAAAGGGAAGUGAAACCGAUGGUAUGUACAUGCUAUAUCUACAAAUAAUAUUGUUCAAACUACUGGUAAUAAAAAUGUUGUUAAUACGUCUGUUGUGAGUUGUAAUUUGGUUAGUGCUUUAAAGGUCUCUCUUGAAACCUGGCACAAGAGGCUGAGACACCCCUCGAAAGAGGUUUUGCAUACUGCUCUAAAACGUUGUAAUAUAACAUCUUUAUGCAUCAAUAAAGAUAAAAUUUUGUGUGAAGCAUGUCAAUUAGAAAACUUUUAUUUGUUCUUGGUAUAACUAAAAACUUGUUGUCUGUUUCAAAAUUUACUCAGGACAAUCAGGUUCUUCUUGAGUUUUAUUCGAACUUCUCCUAAGUUCGUGAUCUUCGUACCCAUAAAGUGUUUUUAAAGGGAAGUGAAACUGAUGGCCUAUACAUGCUAUAUCUACAAAUAAUAUUGUUCAAACUACUAGUAAUAAAAAUAUUGCUGUUAAUAAGUCUGUUGUGAGUUGUAAUUUGGUUAGUGCUCUAAAAGUCUCUCUUGAAACCUGGCACAAGAGGCUGGGAUACCCCUCGAAAGAGGUUUUGCAUACUGCUCUAAAACGUUGUAAUAUAACAUCUUUAUGCAUCAAUAAAGAGAAAAUUUUGUGUGAAGCAUGUCAGUUAGAAAAAUCUCAUAAAUUGCCUUUUUAUGACUCUCAAACAGUUUAUUCACAUCCUUUAGAGUUAAUUUUGGCUGAUCUUUAGGGCCAACACCUGUGUUUUCUAAUGGGUUCAAGUAUUAUGUAGCAUUUACUGAUGCAUACAGUAGGUAUACCUGGAUUUAUUUUCUUAAACGCAAAUCAGAGGUUAAAACAGUGUUUCCUCAGUUUCUUAGACAGGUUGAGAGGCAAUUUAAUGUCAAACUUAUGUUUCAAACGGAUGGCGGUGGUGAGUUUGGUGCUCUACAUUUUUACUUGAAAGAACAAGGAAUAACUCAUCGUAUGUCUUGUCCUCACACAUCCGAACAAAACGAUAUAGUAGAAAGGAAACACCGUCAAGUGGUUGAAGUUGUCCUGUCUAUGCUUGCCCAGGCCUCAUUACCUUUGACGUUUUGGAAUGAUGCGUCAGUGCAAUCUUUCUCAUCAACAAACUUCCUACAAGAGCUCUUGAAGGUAUGUCUCCUCAGGAUUUUUGGGUGUGCCAAACAUAAGCUUCAAUUUAAGUCGUCAAAAUGUGUCUUUCUAGGUUAUUCCCCUUCACAUAAAGGCUACAAGUGUCUAGAUA
This is a long non-coding RNA of Hibiscus syriacus, 1738 nucleotides long. RefSeq lists it as uncharacterized. Lineage: Eukaryota; Viridiplantae; Streptophyta; Magnoliopsida; Malvales; Malvaceae. The record is from RefSeq and is a predicted model, not a curated record. The transcript has 3 exons.